Molecule: long non-coding RNA, 274 nt
Filed under: Gorilla gorilla gorilla (western lowland gorilla)
Lineage: Eukaryota; Metazoa; Chordata; Mammalia; Primates; Hominidae
Description: lncRNA (ENSGGOG00000044686.1)
Source: RNAcentral
CAAUUCACUCUGUGCUUAAAAUGUUCUUUUUCCAUGUUUUGUUUUUCAGAGCCUGUUCUGCUGGGACACAGAAUCACUUGCUCCAUCUAAUACAUUGAUGAUGAUUAAUUUGUAUGUGUACCUUCCAAAAAAGAUGGUUGUGUUUGAACGGAGGCCUCCUGGACAAGAAAAUAAUCACAUCCUUCCUGAGAUAAUGAGCACACAAUUGCCUGGAUACCUGAAGGAAUGGAGACAGUGGCAGAAAACACUGCAGAGAGGUGGAAACAUCCGUUAA